UGCAGUCGAGCGACAGACGAGGAGCUUGCUCCUCUGACGUUAGCGGCGGACGGGUGAGUAACACGUGGGUAACCUACCUAUAAGACUGGGAUAACUCCGGGAAACCGGGGCUAAUACCGGAUAACACAUGAAACCGCAUGGUUUCAUGAUGAAAGACGGUUUUGCUGUCACUUAUAGAUGGACCCGCGGCGUAUUAGCUAGUUGGUAAGGUAACGGCUUACCAAGGCAACGAUACGUAGCCGACCUGAGAGGGUGAUCGGCCACACUGGAACUGAGACACGGUCCAGACUCCUACGGGAGGCAGCAGUAGGGAAUCUUCCGCAAUGGGCGAAAGCCUGACGGAGCAACGCCGCGUGAGUGAUGAAGGUCUUCGGAUCGUAAAACUCUGUUAUUAGGGAAGAACAAGGGUGUAAGUAACUGUGCAUCCCUUGACGGUACCUAAUCAGAAAGCCACGGCUAACUACGUGCCAGCAGCC
Molecule: ribosomal RNA, 476 nt
Filed under: uncultured bacterium
Lineage: Bacteria
Description: bacterial SSU rRNA
Rfam family: Bacterial small subunit ribosomal RNA
Source: RNAcentral